This 334-nucleotide unclassified non-coding RNA is filed under the name soil metagenome. Its description in RNAcentral is "partial contains 5.8S ribosomal RNA, internal transcribed spacer 2, and large subunit ribosomal RNA". The stretch from base 1 to 120 matches the Rfam family "5.8S ribosomal RNA", at positions 35 to 154 of the family's 154-position model. The record is from RNAcentral.
GAUGAAGAACGCAGCGAAAUGCGAUAAGUAAUGUGAAUUGCAGAAUUCAGUGAAUCAUCGAAUCUUUGAACGCACAUUGCGCCCGCCAGUAUUCUGGCGGGCAUGCCUGUUCGAGCGUCAUUUCAACCAUCAAGCCCUGCUUGCGUUGGGGUCCUGCGGCUGCCCGCAGGCCCUGAAAACCAGUGGCGGGCUCGCUAGUCACACCGAGCGCAGUAAUACAUCACGCUUUGGGUGUGCGGCGGGUUCUUGCCGUUAAACACCCCCUUUUUACCAAGGUUGACCUCGGAUCAGGUAGGAAUACCCGCUGAACUUAAGCAUAUCAAUAAGCGGAGGA